GUGGGGAAUCUUGCGCAAUGGGCGAAAGCCUGACGCAGCCAUGCCGCGUGAAUGAUGAAGGUCUUAGGAUUGUAAAAUUCUUUCACCGGGGACGAUAAUGACGGUACCCGGAGAAGAAGCACCGGCUAACUUCGUGCCAGCAGCCGCGGUAAUACGAAGGGGGCUAGCGUUGCACGGAAUUACUGGGCGUAAAGGGCGCGUAGGCGGACAGUUUAGUCAGAGGUGAAAGCCCAGGGCUCAACCUUGGAAUUGCCUUUGAUACUGGCUGUCUUGAGUACGGGAUAGGUGAGUGGAACUCCGAGUGUAGAGGUGAAAUUCGUAGAUAUUCGGAAGAACACCAGUGGCGAAGGCGACUCACUGGCCCGUUACUGACGCUGAGGCGCGAAAGCGUGGGGAGCAAACAGGAUUAGAAACCCGAGUAGUCC
This 425-nucleotide ribosomal RNA is filed under the name uncultured bacterium. RNAcentral describes it as "partial 16S ribosomal RNA". It matches the Rfam family "Bacterial small subunit ribosomal RNA", at positions 354 to 796 of the family's 1533-position model. The record is from RNAcentral.